This 253-nucleotide ribosomal RNA is filed under the name uncultured bacterium. RNAcentral's name for it is "partial 16S ribosomal RNA". It matches the Rfam family "Bacterial small subunit ribosomal RNA", at positions 524 to 776 of the family's 1533-position model. The record is from RNAcentral.
GACAGAGGCCCCAAGCGUUAGGCGGAAUCACUGGGCUUAAAGCGUGCGCAGGCGGUUGUGCAAGACAGAUGUGAAAUCCCCGGGCUUAACCUGGGAAUGGCAUUUGUGACUGCACGGCUAGAGUGUGUCAGAGGGGGGUAGAAUUCCACGUGUAGCAGUGAAAUGCGUAGAUAUGUGGAGGAAUACCGAUGGCGAAGGCAGCCCCCUGGGAUAACACUGACGCUCAUGCACGAAAGCGUGGGGAGCAAACAGG